GACGAACGCUGGCGGCGUGCUUAACACAUGCAAGUCGAACGGAAAGGCCCUGCUUUUGUGGGGUGCUCGAGUGGCGAACGGGUGAGUAACACGUGAGUAACCUGCCCUUGACUUUGGGAUAACUUCAGGAAACUGGGGCUAAUACCGGAUAGGAGCUCCUGCUGCAUGGUGGGGGUUGGAUAGUUUCGGCGGUUGGGGAUGGACUCGCGGCUUAUCAGCUUGUUGGUGGGGUAGUGGCUUACCAAGGCUUUGACGGGUAGCCGGCCUGAGAGGGUGACCGGCCACAUUGGGACUGAGAUACGGCCCAGACUCCUACGGGAGGCAGCAGUGGGGAAUAUUGCCCAAUGGGCGGAAGCCUGAUGCGGCAACGCCGCGGUCGGGAUGACGGCCUUCGGGUUGUAAACCGCUUUCGCCUGUGACGAAGCGUGAGUGACGGUAAUGGGUAAAGAAGCACCGGCUAACUACGUG
RNAcentral lists this ribosomal RNA (468 nucleotides) under uncultured bacterium. RNAcentral describes it as "partial 16S ribosomal RNA". It matches the Rfam family "Bacterial small subunit ribosomal RNA", at positions 28 to 507 of the family's 1533-position model. The record is from RNAcentral.